GACGAACCGUGCGAACGUUGUUCGGAUUCACUGGGCUUAAAGGGCGCGUAGGCGGGCGACCAAGUCAGGGGUGAAAUCUUUCGGCUCAACCGGAAAACAGCCCCUGAUCCUGGCCGUCUGGAGGGAGGUAGGGGUCUGUGGAACUUCUGGUGGAGCGGUGAAAUGCGUAGAUAUCAGAAGGAACGCCGGUGGCGAAAGCGACGGACUGGACCUUCUCUGACGCUGAGGCGCGAAAGCUCGGGUAGCAAACGGG
This 253-nucleotide ribosomal RNA is filed under the name uncultured bacterium. RNAcentral describes it as "partial 16S ribosomal RNA". It matches the Rfam family "Bacterial small subunit ribosomal RNA", at positions 524 to 776 of the family's 1533-position model. The record is from RNAcentral.